This 227-nucleotide long non-coding RNA is filed under the name Lathyrus oleraceus (garden pea). RNAcentral's name for it is "Pisum sativum (pea) long non-coding RNA (PSAT_LNC006599)". The record is from RNAcentral. Lineage: Eukaryota; Viridiplantae; Streptophyta; Magnoliopsida; Fabales; Fabaceae.
AGAGAGUGAAGGAGAUGGGUGGAUGGCGGUGUGAAGAGGAAGGGGGAAUAAUUUCCUUCUCUUUUUUUAUUUUUUAUUUUUUCUUCUUUUUGGACCAGUGGUGUAUGUGAAUUAAAGCAGAGACACGUUGGUGGUCUCCUGUUACCUUGAAUAAAUUAAAAUGCCUAUAAUGCCCUUUUUAUAUGGUUUAAUCGUUUUAAAAUAAUUUAAAUCAAUUGAAUCAAAAU